Chinchilla lanigera (long-tailed chinchilla) is the source of this 1303-nucleotide long non-coding RNA. RefSeq lists it as uncharacterized. The transcript is spliced from 3 exons. Lineage: Eukaryota; Metazoa; Chordata; Mammalia; Rodentia; Chinchillidae. The record is from RefSeq and is a predicted model, not a curated record.
UUGUUUGGAAUGUGGAGCUAGAAGCCUUAGCAUAGCCUUAGCAUUCUGAACCUAAACUGAGAUCAGACUUCAGAAAUCAUCCUAGUUUGGGAGUCCGUGGGGGUAGCCUAGGAUACUUUUGUUUGUUUUCUCUUUCCAUUGGCCAAAGACAACCUAUGGCUAUGAAAAUCUGCCUGGAAACCGGGUAGCAGGUGUGUUGGCUUGAACCAUUUGUAGGAACAAGGCUAGUCUGCCCAGCUAACAAAAGAAAGCCUCUCUUUGCACGGACGCUUUGCUCAGUCUUUAGAACACUCAAUUUUGCAUAAAGUGGCUGAUGUCAGAGCAGCCAAAGCAGGAGUGAAAUGAACGUGGCAUCAUGAGCACUAAAGGAUGGACAUAACAGAGGUGUCACAGAGCUUCUCUGAAGAUAACAGAAAGCACAGUGCAGUGUGCUAAUCCACCUAAAAUCAGGGGUGCUGGAAGCCAAGGGCCAUGGUGAUAAUAGAAUAAAGUGACACGUAUCUCAAGUCAUAAAGUGAUCUGAAAAACAGAACCUAAGAUGCAGCCACACGGCCCCCUAGUGACCGGCAUGGGAACUGCAGCUGCCCACAGCUGGGAGAAGGCUGACCGCUCUGGCGUCUGCGUAGGCCUGGAAGGAGGAGGAGGAGGCCCUUUGCCAGGCUCUGUCCUCGUGCGAGCAUCUCUCACGCAGAGCCGCAAGCGCUCACAUUACCUACGGGCUCACGGAGCAGAUAAGGUGAAAUUACAUGAACUGGAAUGCACUGACUUUUAAAUAAUCACUGUUGCUUUUGUUAGUCAAGCCCUUGGAAGAGGCCACGGAGGAGUCUUGUUGGGCGCAGAUCUAUCAUAAACCAGAGGAGUUCACAUAGGCAAAACGUGGGAAAUCAACGGUCCGAUCCCUUCGCUCCAAGAAUGAGGCAACUAGCGGGAGGGCGGUGUGCAUCCGCAACCCCGGCGCUCUGGGGGACUGAGGCGGGAACGCCGCAGAUCUGAGCCUAGGCUGCGUGUUUUGUGUAUGUGUAUUUCCAGUUUGUCUUGCUCUGUUUUAUGGGACGUGGACAGAUUGAAGGGGGACUAUUGCGGGAGGCGUAGGGAGGGCCAGGGCCGCUCGUGGAGAUGAGAGUGCGCUGCUUGGGGGUCUGGAGAGAGACAUCGGGGAGCUCCAGGAGAGGCCCGCGCCCUCAGGUGAUCGGUCGGGGUGUCCAAGAGGGUCUGAAGCUGUGGUCGGAGGGCGGGGCGGCGAUGCCGGGGUGUCAAGAACAGCCUUUCCAGCCGGGCGUGGUGGCACACCCCUGUAAUCCCA